Molecule: ribosomal RNA, 433 nt
Filed under: uncultured bacterium
Lineage: Bacteria
Description: partial 16S ribosomal RNA
Rfam family: Bacterial small subunit ribosomal RNA
Source: RNAcentral
AGCGAACGCUGGCGGCAUGCUUAACACAUGCGAGUCGCACGGGCAGCAAUGUCAGUGGCGGCCGGGUGAGUAACGCGUAGGAACGUGUCCUGAGGUGGGGGACAACCCCGGGAAACUGGGGCUAAUACCGCAUAUGGGCUGAGGCCCAAAGCCGAGAGGCGCCUUUGGAGCGGCCUGCGUCCGAUUAGGUAGUUGGUUGGGUAAAGGCCUACCACGCCUGCGAUCGGUAGCUGGUCUGAGAGGACGACCAGCAACACUGGGACUGAGACACGGCCCAGACUCCUACGGGAGGCAGCAGAGGGGAAUAUUGGACAAUGGGCGAAAGCCUGAUCCAGCAAUGCCGCGUGGGUGAAGAAGGUCUGCGGAUCGUAAAGCCCUUUCGACGGGGACGAUGAUGACGGUACCCGUAGAAGAAGCCCCGGCUAACUUCGUG